GGCAGGUCUCUCUCUCUGAUUUUCAACCUGUAAGGUCUCUGGUCCAGACAUUACAGGGGCAGGUCUCUCUCUCUGAUUUUCAACCUGUAAGGUCUCUGGUCCAGACAUUACAGGGGCAGGUCUCUCUCUCUGAUUUUCAACCUGUAAGGUCUCUGGUCCAGACAUUACAGGGGCAGGUCUCUCUCUCUGAUCUUCAACCUGUAAGGUCUCUGGUCCAGACAUUACAGGGGCAGGUCUCUCUCUCUGAUUUUCAACCUGUAAGGUCUCUGGUCCAGACAUUACAGGGGCAGGUCUCUCUCUCUGAUUUUCAACCUGUAAGGUCUCUGGUCCAGGCAUUACAGGGGCAGGUCUCUCUCUCUGAUUUUCAACCUGUAAGGUCUGUGGUCCAGGCAUUACAAUAGAAAGUAUAGUAACAUAUUUAAAUCGAGUUCCCGAGAUUGCAAUUCCUAUGACUUCCACUAGAUGUCAACAGUCUUUCUUCAAGGUUUCAGACUUAUUUCUUUCAAAAUGAGGAAGAAUUGAGUUUUGAUACAGGAACCCAGAGUGGGAAAUCAAUCUGUGCGAGCAUGAUGAAGAGGACACGCUAAAAUCACGUUCCUAUUGAACAUACUUCUUUCCGUGUGAAAUAUUACAGUUUAAUUACAUUUUAGGGAACCUGAGGAUUAAAUAGAAAUGUAGUUUGACUGUUUUAACAAAGUUUAGCAGUAGCUAUUUGGAACCCUUUCUCUGCAUGUUGAACGAGUGGAUUACUGAAAUCAAUGGCGCCAACUAAAAUGACUUUUUGGGAUAUAAAGAAGGAUUUUAUCUAACAAAACGACACUACAUGUUGUACCUGGGACUCUUAGGAUUGCAAAUCAGAGGAAGAUUUUAAAAAAGGAAGGGAAUAAUCCAUCGCUAUUUGUGACUUUAUUAAACCUGUGCUGGUUGAAAAAUAUGUUGAUGUGCGGCGCCG
Oncorhynchus tshawytscha (Chinook salmon) is the source of this 952-nucleotide long non-coding RNA. Lineage: Eukaryota; Metazoa; Chordata; Actinopteri; Salmoniformes; Salmonidae. The record is from Ensembl.